UAGCCGUAAACGAUACUCGCUAGGUGUCGGCCACGGUGCGACCGUUGUCGGCGCCGUAGGGAAGCCGUGAAGCGAGCCACCUGGGAAGUACGGCCGCAAGGCUGAAACUUAAAGGAAUUGGCGGGGGAGCACCACAACGGGUGGAGCUUGCGGUUUAAUUGGAUUCAACGCCGGAAAUCUUACCGGGACCGACAGCAACAUGAAGGCCAGGCUGAAGACUUUGCCGGAUUAGCUGAGAGGAGGUGCAUGGCGUAGUCGUGU
Molecule: ribosomal RNA, 261 nt
Filed under: uncultured archaeon
Lineage: Archaea
Description: partial 16S ribosomal RNA
Rfam family: Archaeal small subunit ribosomal RNA
Source: RNAcentral